RNAcentral lists this ribosomal RNA (448 nucleotides) under uncultured bacterium. RNAcentral's name for it is "SSU rRNA". It matches the Rfam family "Bacterial small subunit ribosomal RNA", at positions 26 to 518 of the family's 1533-position model. The record is from RNAcentral.
AGGAUGAACGCUGGCGGUAUGCUUAACACAUGCAAGUCGCACGGCUGGGGUAACUCAGCAGUGGCGGACGGGUGAGUAACGCGUAGGUAUCUAUCUCUGGGUGGGGGACAACCGUGGGAAACUACGGCUAAUACCGCAUGAAGCCUGAGGGCCAAAGCAGCGAUGCGCCUGGAGAGGAGCCUGCGUACGAUUAGCUUGUUGGUGAGGUAAUGGCUCACCAAGGCGACGAUCGUUAGCUGGUCUGAGAGGAUGAUCAGCCACACUGGGACUGAGACACGGCCCAGACUCCUACGGGAGGCAGCAGUGGGGAAUAUUGGACAAUGGGCGCAAGCCUGAUCCAGCAAUGCCGCGUGAGUGAAGAAGGUCUUCGGAUUGUAAAGCUCUUUCGACGGGGACGAUGAUGACGGUACCGUAGAAGAGCCCCGGCUAACUUCGUGCCAGCAGCCGC